UUCAUGUAAUAUAAUCGUUUAGUGUUUAGCAGCUUACGUUUGCUGUUCAUUUAGUAUAAUGGUUUAGAUUUUUAGUAGCUGUUUAAAAUGCUAUAUUUUAGUAGUACUUCGGUAUUUAGUUAAUUCUUACUAGUUGAAUGACUAACGUUUACCACUUAUAUCGUAUAGUAAUCGUUUAGCAGUUUUGUAGUAGUUUGGAAUGUGCAUUCUUGUAGCACUUUAGUAUACAGUUAGUUCUUAGUAGUAGGGUGACUAACUUUCAGCAUUUAGUUAGUAUACUCGUUUAGUGUUUAGUAGCAGUUUAGAAAGUAUAUGUUAGUAGCACUUUAGUGUGUAGAUAGUUCUUAGUAGUAGUCAGUAAGGUUUAGCGUUCAGGUAGUAUAAUCGUUUAGUGUUUUGGUAGCAGUUUAUAAUGUAUAUUUUAGUAGCACUUCAGUAUUGAGUUACUUCGUAGUAGUAGAGUGACUAGUGUUUAGAAUUAGAUAGCAUAAUCGCCUAGUGUUUUAGUAGCAGUUUAGAACGUAUAUUUUAGUAAUGCCUUAGUAUUGAGUUAGUUCGUAGUAGUAGAGUGACUAGAGUUGAGAAUUUAGAUAGUAUAAUCGCCUCGUGGUGGAGUGGCAAUUUAGAAUGUAUAUUUUAGUAGUACUUCAGUAUGUAGUUAAUUCUUACUAGCAGAGUGACUAACGUUUACGACUUAUAUCGUAUAGUAAUCGUUUAGCAGUUUUGUAGUAGUUUGGAAUGUGCAUUCUUGUAGCACUUUAGUAUACAGUUAGUUCUUAGUAGUAGGGGGACUAACUUUCAGCAUUUAAUUAGUAUGCUCGGUUAGUGUUUAGUAGCAGAUUAGAAAGUAUAUGUUAGUAGCACUUUAGUGUGUAGAUAGUUCGUGUGUAGCGAAGCAAUUCUGCUGUGGGGGCGGGGUCAAGUGUAUCAGUUAUGUCUUCACUGACUAUAGGAAAAUCUUGGGGCUUCGUCGUAGCGUUGAGGGGUCGUAAACUCGUCGUCAUUCGCGUAUAUAUCAAUUUUUGUGUCCUCCGGAUCAAUGAGAACCAGGCAGCCAAGCAAUAUGGAAUUGGAUGCAGCAAGACUAACUUCCUUUGAGUGCUUACCGUCGCUUGGAAUUGUGGGAGUUUACUAAUACAAAAGAAACAAACGGCCUCCAAACUGUUCCCAUUUCUUCCCUACCGGUCCACAGUCCACGACGUGUCAAGGUCAGCGAAAGCGAAAUGUGAAGGAUUAUUGUUCGUUCCCCCGCUGAGCAAGCGCCCAAGAUGCAACGCGUGUGCAAGACCACUGGGAUUUACCGAACCCCUCCACUGGGUGCCGGAAGACUAGCUUCCUUUGUGUACACACGGGGAGCUAAUAUUCAGGUGGAUUAGUCACAGGCGCUAGAAUAUUUCCAAGCCUAGAGGAACGCCACCACGUGCGUAGCAAUGAAUUAAAAACAACAAUGAACGAAGAAGUUCGACUAUCUACGUUAAUGGUGCACUGGCAUGUUCUCGGUGCCACAACAGUUCGAAGAAGAAGAAUGUUCUAGUUAACCAUAAACGAUGAUAUCGGGGUAGGUAGGGAACCAAUCACAAGGUGUCAGAUCGUCAAUCAGGACUCGCUUUCUGCAAGGAGCCACUCCGCCUGUGAAAGCUAGCUCAGAACACCACCCACAACCACCAAUGUCCAGAGGACGUCCUGAAAUGGUCGGAAUAUCUUUGUCAGAAAGUGACGUAAAUAGGAUGUCUUCUAGAUGUCUAUUUGCGAUGUCCGUUGGGACAAUAAAAGCGUACAUCCUGUAGAUAUCCUACAGUUAUCC
Ornithodoros turicata is the source of this 1804-nucleotide long non-coding RNA. RefSeq lists it as uncharacterized. The transcript has 2 exons. NCBI's taxonomy places the organism in Eukaryota, Metazoa, Arthropoda, Arachnida, Ixodida, Argasidae. The record is from RefSeq and is a predicted model, not a curated record.